UUGGGACAGAAAGACCCUAUGAAGCUUGACUGUAGCUUGGAAUUGGGUUCGGGCUUUUCUUGCGCAGCCUAGGUGGGAGGCGUUGAAGGUUUUCUUUCGGGGAAAUUGGAGCCAACAGUGAGAGACCACUCUGGAGGAGCUAGAAUUCUAAUGGCGUUCCUUGAAGCAGGACGCUUGACAGUUUCAGGUGGGCAGUUUGACUGGGGCGGUCACCUCAUAAAAGGUAACGGAGGUGUGCAAAGGUUCCCUCAGGCUGGACGGAAAUCAGCCGGAGAGUGUAAAGGCAGAAGGGAGCUUGACUGCAAGACCUACAAGUCGAGCAGGGGCGAAAGCCGGCCUUAGUGAUCCGACGGUUCCAUGUGGAAGGGCCGUCGCUCAACGGAUAAAAGUUACUCUAGGGAAAAAAGGCUGAAAGGUGCA
RNAcentral lists this ribosomal RNA (420 nucleotides) under Chlorella sp. KMN3. RNAcentral describes it as "bacterial LSU rRNA". It matches the Rfam family "Bacterial large subunit ribosomal RNA", at positions 2078 to 2493 of the family's 2925-position model. The record is from RNAcentral. Lineage: Eukaryota; Viridiplantae; Chlorophyta; Trebouxiophyceae; Chlorellales; Chlorellaceae.